This 426-nucleotide ribosomal RNA is filed under the name uncultured Ilumatobacter sp. Its description in RNAcentral is "bacterial SSU rRNA". It matches the Rfam family "Bacterial small subunit ribosomal RNA", at positions 354 to 796 of the family's 1533-position model. The record is from RNAcentral. Lineage: Bacteria; Bacillati; Actinomycetota; Acidimicrobiia; Acidimicrobiales; Ilumatobacteraceae.
GUGGGGAAUCUUGCACAAUGGGCGAAAGCCUGAUGCAGCAACGCCGCGUGCGGGAAGACGGCCCUAGGGUUGUAAACCGCUUUCAGCAGGGAAGAAACUGACGGUACCUGCAGAAGAAGAUGCGGCCAACUACGUGCCAGCAGCCGCGGUGACACGUAGGCAUCGAGCGUUAUCCGGAUUUAUUGGGCGUAAAGAGCUCGUAGGCGGUUCGGUUAGUCGGGUGUGAAAACUCUGGGCUCAACCCAGAGACGCCACCCGAUACUGCUGUGACUAGAGUGCGGUAGGGGAGUGGGGAACUCCUGGUGUAGCGGUGAAAUGCGCAGAUAUCAGGAAGAACACCAGUGGCGAAGGCGCCACUCUGGGCCGUAACUGACGCUGAGGAGCGAAAGCGUGGGUAGCAAACAGGAUUAGAUACCCUGGUAGUCC